Molecule: ribosomal RNA, 497 nt
Filed under: uncultured bacterium
Lineage: Bacteria
Description: partial 16S ribosomal RNA
Rfam family: Bacterial small subunit ribosomal RNA
Source: RNAcentral
GAUGAACGCUGGCGGCGUGCCUAAUACACGCUAGUCGAGCGAACAGACGAGGAGCUUGCUCCUCUGACGUUAGCGGCGGACGGGUGAGUAACACGUGGAUAACCUACCUAUACGACUGGGAUAACUUCGGGACACCGGAGCUAAUACCGGAUAAUAUAUUGAACCGCAUGGUUCAAUAGUGACAGACGGUUUUGCUGUCACUUAUAGAUGGAUCCGCGCCGCAUUAGCUAGUUGGUAAGGUAACGGCUUACCAAGGCAACGAUGCGUAGCCGACCUGAGAGGGUGAUCGGCCACACUGGAACUGAGACACGGUCCAGACUCCUACGGGAGGCAGCAGUAGGGAAUCUUCCGCAAUGGGCGAAAGCCUGACGGAGCAACGCCGCGUGAGUGAUGAAGGUCUUCGGAUCGUAAAACUCUGUUAUUAGGGAAGAACAAAUGUGUAAGUAACUAUGCACGUCUUGACGGUACCUAAUCAGAAAGCCACGGCUAACUACGUG